Molecule: ribosomal RNA, 253 nt
Filed under: uncultured bacterium
Lineage: Bacteria
Description: partial 16S ribosomal RNA
Rfam family: Bacterial small subunit ribosomal RNA
Source: RNAcentral
UACGAAGGGGGCUAGCGUUGUUCGGAAUUACUGGGCGUAAAGCGCACGUAGGCGGAUUUGUAAGUAGGGGGUGAAAUCCCCGGGCUCAACCCGGGAACUGCCUUCUAGACUGCAAGUCUGGAGAUCAGGAGAGGCGAGUGGAAUACCGAGUGUAGAGGUGAAAUGCGUAGAUAUGCGGUGGAACACCAGUGGCGAAGGCGACUCGCUGGACUGAUACUGACGCUGAGGUGCGAAAGCGUGGGGAGCAAACAGG